Molecule: long non-coding RNA, 759 nt
Organism: Mauremys reevesii (Reeves's turtle)
Lineage: Eukaryota; Metazoa; Chordata; Testudines; Geoemydidae
Exons: 3
Source: RefSeq, a predicted model, not a curated record
AGUGUUUGCUCUGAAACUGUGAACCAUCAGAGUCAGGAGAGAAGCAUUACCAAGUGUGAAUAAUAGGUUUCCAUAAGAGGUGUCAUCUCCUGCCCAGCAAAGGAAGGCCCACUGACACCAGAAAAACCACUGUGGAACAUCAGAGAAGAAAAGACUGUUGAUUCCUCCUUCACACCCAUGAAGAGGAGAUGUGCAGAGAGAAUGAGUCAAUGAGGCAUUUCUGUCCUGAAGGAAUAAUUAAUCGAGUAAGACAUUUUAAAGCAUGACUAAGCAACAAGUGUACCUAGAGUCAAGGACCACACAGCACAGCUCAGGAGGAGAGGGUUACGCAGACAAUGCAGAUAAUAGCUGUUCCCUAAAGAAAUGCCUUUUGACUACAAUUCCAAAUCUUCAGAAACAUGAAUUACAACAUAAUGAAGCACAAAAAAUCAGCAGUGAUACUAAAAUAACUUCUGGCCUUCUGCAAAUGAGAUUCAGAUGCCUUGAUACAGAUGAUCUAGUAAUACAUUUUAAUACAGGCCAUCUAAAGUUCUUAAGAUUUCCCCAGCAGGCGUCUAUAUUGCACAAACUGUUAUUAACUGUGGAUUAUCCCUGGAAGUGGAGGCAAGGAUUUAUUUGACAAAUGAUGAUAAUUUAACUAAUGAUUUAGGUGAGGUGCACUUGAGUGUUAAUAUAAAAAGCCAAUUCUAUUACUGCUUGAAACGUAAGACAAAAUUAAUUUAGCAAGUUUUUAUGUAACUAGAAGGAGCCAAAUAUCAG